This 1561-nucleotide ribosomal RNA is filed under the name uncultured Glomeromycotina. Its description in RNAcentral is "eukaryotic LSU rRNA". The stretch from base 714 to 1561 matches the Rfam family "Eukaryotic large subunit ribosomal RNA", at positions 1 to 694 of the family's 3401-position model. The record is from RNAcentral. Lineage: Eukaryota; Fungi; Glomeromycota.
UAUUGCUCUUGAACGAGGAAUCCCUAGUAAGUACAAGUCACUAGCUUGUGCUGAUUACGUCCCUGCCCUUUGUACACACCGCCCGUCGCUACUACCGAUUGAAUGGCUUAGUGAGGCCUUCGGAUUGAAAUUCGGAGACUGGCAACAGACUCUUGGUUUUGAAAAGUUGGACAAACUUGGUCAUUUAGAGGAAGUAAAAGUCGUAACAAGGUUUCCGUAGGUGAACCUGCGGAAGGAUCAUUACCGAUUUUUAGCGGACCUGAUCUUUGAUCAUGGUCUCGCGAAAACUUGUAUUUAAAACCCCACUCUUAUAAAUUGAAUCAUUUUAUAUUAUGUAUGUAAUAAAUAAAGAUCACUUUCAACAACGGAUCUCUUGGCUCUCGCAUCGAUGGAGAACAUAGCGAAGUGCGAUAAGUAAUGUGAAUUGCAGAAUUCCGUGAAUCAUCGAAUCUUUGAACGCAAAUUGCACUCUCUGGUAACCCGGGGAGUAUGCCUGUUUGAGGGUCAGUGUUAAUAAAAAUCGGUGCGUUGCAAUUUUUGUGAUGUUCCGGAGUUUGAGUUAUCUUAUCUUUUGAGUUUAAGAGGCUUAAAAUUGACCUUUUUUGUGCAUUUUAGACGUACAUAAAUUUUUUUUUUAUUCGUUUAUCUUAAUGCCAAAAUCUAUUAGAUGCGACCAUAUCAUGUGGUUCCGCGUCUAUAAAUUUUUCAUGAUUUGACCUCAAAUCAGGUAGGAACACCCGCUGAACUUAAGCAUAUCAAUAAGCGGAGGAAAAGAAAAUAACAAUGAUUCCCCUAGUAACUGCGAGUGAAGAGGGACAAGCUCAAAUUUUAAAUCUAUCGGGUUUUACCUGAUCGAGUUGUAAUUUGAAAGAUGGCGUUUUCUGUGUUUCUGAUCAGUCCCAGGUCCUUUGGGAUAAGGCAUCAUGGAGGGUGAGAAUCCCGUUCGGUUGAUCAGAUUCCGCUUUACGAUACGUUAUCCAAGAGUCAAGUGUUUGGGAUUGCAGCCUAAAAUGGGGAGGUAAUUUCCUCCUUAGGCUACAUAACUGGCGAGGAGACCCGACUAGCGAACAGGUACCCGUGGAGUAAGAAUGGAAAAGAACUUGAAAGAAGUUAAACGUACUGCAUGUGAAGGUAACGAUUGAAGCCAGUCCGUUACCCUCCGUUAAUACUAGCCUUUUGGGUGUGAUUUUGUGGAGCGUGAAGAGUUAAACGCCUUCAUGCUUGCAUAUUCGUGCACUUUGGGUGUACUUGCCCGUGUGGUUGGUUAACAUCAAUUUUGGUGGUCAUAAAAUGACUGGGGGAAUGUAGCUUCGAUCUUGUAUUGAAGUGUUAUAGCCUUCGGUAGAUGUGAUGAUCGAGAUUGAGGAUUGCAACGGAUACCCUUCGGGGCUACCUGUCUGGUCUCUGAUCGUUGCUCUGGUGCCGAAAGCUUGCUUACGGUUAUCAAAGUCGAUGGUCAAUAGGUUAGAACGGGUUAAAUUCGUUAAGGAUGUUGACGUAAUGGCUUUAAACGACCCGUCUUGAAACACGGACCAAGGAGUCUAACAUGUGUGCGAGUGUU